UCAUGGCCUCUUUGGAGCUGCAGCUGCUGCGGUCAAAGGAGUCCAGAGUGUUUUUCCUUGGUCGCUGUUCUGUUCCUUAACUGAUUUGCAACAUUUCAGGAAAACAGUU
Molecule: small nucleolar RNA, 109 nt
Organism: Pipistrellus kuhlii (Kuhl's pipistrelle)
Lineage: Eukaryota; Metazoa; Chordata; Mammalia; Chiroptera; Vespertilionidae
Source: RefSeq, a predicted model, not a curated record